CGGGGUGUAGCUCAGUUGGUAGAGCGCUCGGCUGGGGGUCGAGAGGUUUUCGCAGGUUCGAGCCCUGUCACCCCGA
This 76-nucleotide transfer RNA is filed under the name Candidatus Magasanikiibacteriota bacterium. RNAcentral describes it as "Candidatus Magasanikbacteria bacterium tRNA-Pro". It matches the Rfam family "tRNA". Rfam says of the family: Transfer RNA (tRNA) molecules are approximately 80 nucleotides in length. The record is from RNAcentral. Lineage: Bacteria; Candidatus Magasanikiibacteriota.